This 841-nucleotide ribosomal RNA is filed under the name Dictyota intermedia. RNAcentral's name for it is "LSU rRNA". It matches the Rfam family "Eukaryotic large subunit ribosomal RNA", at positions 380 to 1257 of the family's 3401-position model. The record is from RNAcentral. Lineage: Eukaryota; Phaeophyceae; Dictyotales; Dictyotaceae.
AAAGAGAGUUAAAGAGUGCCUGAAAUUGCUGGAAGGGAAGCGAAGGAAAGAGGUGUGGUAGGCCGCCCGGCCGCGGUCAGGGGUUGCGCCGGGCUCGGGGGAAGAGCCGUCGGGGAUCGGUAGGCGUGCCGCUUCGGCGGGGCGCUGUCAGGCCUCGGUGGUAUGUUGCCCUGAGCCCGGCCCCCUUCUGGCGGUCGCGGCUUUUCUUCACCCCGUCUUGAAACACGGACCAAGGAGUCUAGCGUGGACGCGAGUAGAGGGGUGUCGAAACCCCCUUGCGCAAUGAAGGUGAACGCCGGUGGGAGGCCGUCCUCGAUCGGGCGGCCAGCACCAUCGACCGAGCGUGCUCCUCCGGGGGCAAGGCUUGAGUGUGAGCGUGCAUGCUGGGACCCGAAAGAUGGUGAACUAUGCCUGAAUAGGGCGAAGCCAGGGGAAACUCUGGUGGAGGCUCGUAGCGAUUCUGACGUGCAAAUCGAUCGUGAGAUUUGGGUAUAGGGGCGAAAGACUAAUCGAACCAUCUAGUAGCUGGUUCCCUCCGAAAUUUCCCUCAGGAUAGCAGCGGCCGAGCGUUGACAGUUUUAUCAGGUAAAGCGAAUGAUUAGAGGCUGCGGGGGAGUAACUCCCUCGCCCUAUUCUCAAACUUUAAAUGGGUAAGGAGCCGGGGUCGCUUGAUUGGACCCUCGGCAGCAAAGAAGAUGGCUGGUCGUUAGUGGGCCAGUCCGGGUAAGCUGGACUGGCGAUGCGGGAUGAACCGAACGCCUAGAUGAAGCGCCUCACUGCCCGCUCACCUAGAUCCCACAAAAGGUGUUGGUUCAUUCAGACAGCAGGACGGUGGCCAUGG